UACGAAGGGGGCGAGCGUUGUUCGGAAUUACUGGGCGUAAAGGGCGCGUAGGCGGCCCCUUUUGUCGCGUGUGAAAGCCCCGGGCUCAACCUGGGAAUUGCAUUUGAGACUGCAUAGCUAGGGUGCGGAAGAGGGAAGCGGAAUUUCCGGUGUAGCGGUGAAAUGCGUAGAUAUCGGAAGGAACACCAGUGGCGAAAGCGGCUUCCUGGUCCAGCACCGACGUUCAGGCACGAAAGCGUGGGGAGCAAACAGG
Molecule: ribosomal RNA, 253 nt
Filed under: uncultured bacterium
Lineage: Bacteria
Description: partial 16S ribosomal RNA
Rfam family: Bacterial small subunit ribosomal RNA
Source: RNAcentral